CAGCCGCCGCGGUAAUACGGAGGGAGCUAGCGUUGUUCGGAAUUACUGGGCGUAAAGCGCACGUAGGCGGCUUUGUAAGUCAGAGGUGAAAGCCUGGAGCUCAACUCCAGAACUGCCUUUGAGACUGCAUCGCUCGAAUCCGGGAGAGGUGAGUGGAAUUCCGAGUGUAGAGGUGAAAUUCGUAGAUAUUCGGAAGGACACCAGUGGCGAAGGCGGCUUACUGGCUCAUACUGGACGCUGAGGUGCGAAAGCGUGGGGAGCAAACAGGAUUAGAUACCCCUGUAGUCCCUGUCUCUUAUAC
RNAcentral lists this ribosomal RNA (301 nucleotides) under uncultured bacterium. RNAcentral's name for it is "partial 16S ribosomal RNA". It matches the Rfam family "Bacterial small subunit ribosomal RNA", at positions 509 to 807 of the family's 1533-position model. The record is from RNAcentral.